GAGGGUACAGCUCAAGUGGUAUAGCACAUGCUAGCAUGCAUGAGGUCCUGGGUUCAAUCCCCAGUAUCUCCU
RNAcentral lists this transfer RNA (72 nucleotides) under Camelus bactrianus (Bactrian camel). It matches the Rfam family "tRNA". Rfam says of the family: Transfer RNA (tRNA) molecules are approximately 80 nucleotides in length. Their secondary structure includes four short double-helical elements and three loops (D, anti-codon, and T loops). Lineage: Eukaryota; Metazoa; Chordata; Mammalia; Artiodactyla; Camelidae. RNAcentral also lists the same sequence under 2 other names. The record is from Rfam by way of RNAcentral.